This 1178-nucleotide long non-coding RNA is filed under the name Gadus morhua (Atlantic cod). RNAcentral describes it as "lncRNA (ENSGMOG00000035287.1)". The record is from RNAcentral. Lineage: Eukaryota; Metazoa; Chordata; Actinopteri; Gadiformes; Gadidae.
GGCAACUUAAUCGGCUCCAGAUCAACUAGUGUUUCGUUAUUCUUUACCUCCACUUUCGGGCCAAGAGGGCCUUUAGAGACCUCAGCCUCAUCAGAGGCAAGCAAGUGUAACCCAGGUUUACAUGACACCUUUUCAUUUAAUUCGAUUUAAAUCACAACCCCUUUUAAAAGUUUGUUACUAAUCAGUAAAAAAUACAUGGCUUGUGUAUUGUCGUUCUAAAUAGUGCCACAGAAUGAGAUAAAGAUAUAUAUUGGGAAAAUAUUGCAAAUGAAUGCAUUUAAAUUAUUGAAUCUAAAUAGUAUGGUGUGAUUUGUUAAACCACCUGUAACUCAACAAAGUCGCAUGGCAAGUGGUUUGACUUAGUUAGCCAAUCAGAAAUUAGACCCGCCUCUUUUUAGCGUCAGCAGAUAGCAGUUACGGAGAUUCGUCCUUUUCGGGACGAGCCACAGAUGAGAUUCGACGAUAGACUACUGUUUUUUAAUAGUAACCUAAAGAAGAGAGAUUCCCCGCCACUAAAAGUCCCGAAAAGCCUGUGCAGUAAAUCGAAACCCUUGGCCGGGUUUUUUUGGUUGUGGAUUGAGAUUGGAUCCUGGAUCGUCUGCAUCCUGCUCGCCCUCCCUGGAGGUCUGCAGCGGUGUACAGACUGGCGAGCUACCCCCCAUCGGAGCGAUCCUUUUGAACCCUGAACGGAAGGAGCAGGUGUUGUUGUUUCUGCAGUGUGGUAGGGGCAAGAGACUUUGAUUGAUUUAUUUAUUUUUUAAUCGCACGGACCAAACCGGAGUGGUUUUCCAAAUGGACUGAGUGAAGCUAGAUCUUUGGAGUAAGCUGUUCUCAGUUUUGCUGUGUACUGUUUGUUUUGUUGAGACGUGUGAUUCAGGGAUGUUUUAAUUUGGUCAGAGGUGUUUUAAAUCCUGUUGUUUUAUGUCUUUGUUUUGUUUUGUUUAUGUUUUGUAAGGGAAGACUCUUUUCCAGAGUCUUUUUCUUUAUUUUUCCUGAAUAAUUAGAGGCUUCCUCAUUGCGAAGUGGCCAUAAACAAUAAACAAAAUAUAUAUAUAUAUAUUUGAAAUAUAUCCAUUGCUUCCAUGUGUCAUUCUUGUGCAGACAGUACCAUAUCUCUCCUUACGAACACUAGAAUCUUCUGACGAUCUGGCCCAUAGACACCAGGUAUUGGUUACACA